GAAAGGGAUACUAAAGAAGAGCUUAUGAAAGCUUUUCACAUAAUAGACCAGGAUAACAAUGGAAAAAUAUCGGACAAGGAUAUUUUGCGUGUUGCUAAAGAUUUGGGUGAAAACUUUACUCUUGAUGAAAUCAGAGAGAUGAUUGAAGAAGCCGACCGAAAUGCUGAUGGGGAGGUUGAUGCUGAUGAGUUCCUGAGGAUGAUGAAACGAACCAAUUAUGGUUACUAGACCACUCAUGUAGAUCGUUG
RNAcentral lists this unclassified non-coding RNA (248 nucleotides) under Hevea brasiliensis (rubber tree). Lineage: Eukaryota; Viridiplantae; Streptophyta; Magnoliopsida; Malpighiales; Euphorbiaceae. The record is from RNAcentral.